CCGAGUUUACAACUCCCAAACCCCUGUGAACAUACCUGUUUUGUUGCUUCGGCGGUGCCCUCGCUCUCGUUGGCGAGGCCCGCCAGAGGACCCAAACAAACUCUUUGAUUUUGAUCUAGGAUUUUACUUCUGAGUGAUAUACAAAAUAAAUCA
Molecule: unclassified non-coding RNA, 153 nt
Filed under: soil metagenome
Description: partial internal transcribed spacer 1
Source: RNAcentral